Molecule: ribosomal RNA, 495 nt
Filed under: uncultured bacterium
Lineage: Bacteria
Description: partial 16S ribosomal RNA
Rfam family: Bacterial small subunit ribosomal RNA
Source: RNAcentral
GACGAACGCUGGCGGCGUGCCUAAUACAUGCAAGUAGAACGCUGAAGGAGGAGCUUGCUUCUCCGGAUGAGUUGCGAACGGGUGAGUAACGCGUAGGUAACCUGCCUGGUAGCGGGGGAUAACUAUUGGAAACGAUAGCUAAUACCGCAUAAGAGUGGAUGUCGCAUGACAUUUGCUUAAAAGGUGCAACUGCACCACUACCAGAUGGACCUGCGUUGUAUUAGCUAGUUGGUGAGGUAACGGCUCACCAAGGCAACGAUACAUAGCCGACCUGAGAGGGUGAUCGGCCACACUGGGACUGAGACACGGCCCAGACUCCUACGGGAGGCAGCAGUAGGGAAUCUUCGGCAAUGGACGGAAGUCUGACCGAGCAACGCCGCGUGAGUGAAGAAGGUUUUCGGAUCGUAAAGCUCUGUUGUAAGAGAAGAACGAGUGUGAGAGUGGAAAGUUCACACUGUGACGGUAUCUUACCAGAAAGGGACGGCUAACUACGUG